This 32-nucleotide non-coding RNA is filed under the name Rattus norvegicus (Norway rat). Lineage: Eukaryota; Metazoa; Chordata; Mammalia; Rodentia; Muridae. The record is from RNAcentral.
UGGACUGCGAAAAUCUCAACUGAUUUCCAGUC